UACGUAGGGCGCAAGCGUUGUCCGGAAUUAUUGGGCGUAAAGAGCUCGUAGGUGGCUUGUCGCGUCUGCCGUGAAAUCCCGUGGCUUAACUGCGGGUCUGCGGUGGAUACGGGCAGGCUAGAGGCUGGUAGGGGCAAGCGGAAUUCCUGGUGUAGCGGUGAAAUGCGCAGAUAUCAGGAGGAACACCGGUGGCGAAGGCGGCUUGCUGGGCCAGUUCUGACGCUGAGGAGCGAAAGCGUGGGGAGCGAACAGG
This 253-nucleotide ribosomal RNA is filed under the name uncultured bacterium. RNAcentral describes it as "partial 16S ribosomal RNA". It matches the Rfam family "Bacterial small subunit ribosomal RNA", at positions 524 to 776 of the family's 1533-position model. The record is from RNAcentral.